GAUGAACGCUGGCGGCGUGCCUAAUACAUGCAAGUCGAGCGAACAGACGAGGAGCUUGCUCCUUCGACGUUAGCGGCGGACGGGUGAGUAACACGUAGGUAACCUACCUAUAAGACUGGGAUAACUUCGGGAAACCGGAGCUAAUACCGGAUAAUAUUUCGAACCGCAUGGUUCGAUAGUGAAAGAUGGCUUUGCUAUCACUUAUAGAUGGAUCUGCGCCGGAUUAGCUAGUUGCUAAGGUAACGGCUUACCAAGGCAACGAUCCGUAGCCGACCGGAGAGGGUGAUCGGCCACACUGGAACUUAGACACCGUCCAGACUCCUACGGGAGGCAGCAGUAGGGAAUCUUCCGCAAUGGGCGAAAGCCUGACGGAGCAACGCCGCGUGAGUGAUGAAGGUCUUCGGAUCGUAAAGCUCUGUUAUUAGGGAAGAACAAACGUGUAAGUAACUGUGCACGUCUUGACGGUACCUAAUCAGAAAGCCACGGCUAACUACGUG
This 497-nucleotide ribosomal RNA is filed under the name uncultured bacterium. RNAcentral's name for it is "partial 16S ribosomal RNA". It matches the Rfam family "Bacterial small subunit ribosomal RNA", at positions 28 to 507 of the family's 1533-position model. The record is from RNAcentral.